RNAcentral lists this ribosomal RNA (343 nucleotides) under uncultured cyanobacterium. Its description in RNAcentral is "bacterial SSU rRNA". It matches the Rfam family "Bacterial small subunit ribosomal RNA", at positions 368 to 726 of the family's 1533-position model. The record is from RNAcentral. Lineage: Bacteria; Bacillati; Cyanobacteriota.
GCAAUGGGCGCAAGCCUGACGGAGCAAGACCGCGUGCGGGAGGACGGCCUAUUGGUUGUAAACCGCUUUUGAUAGGGAAGAAGCACUGACGGUACCUAUCGAAUCAGCAUCGGCUAACUCCGUGCCAGCAGCCGCGGUAAUACGGAGGAUGCAAGCGUUAUCCGGAAUUAUUGGGCGUAAAGCGUCCGUAGGUGGUUGUUCAAGUCUGCUGUUAAAGCGUGCGGCUUAACCGCAUACCAGCAGUGGAAACUGGGCGACUAGAGUGCGGUAGGGGUCAGGGGAAUUCCCAGUGUAGCGGUGAAAUGCGUAGAUAUUGGGAAGAACACCGGUGGCGAAAGCGCCU